UUACGUCACGCGACCACGCCCCUCCGGCGAUAUAAAAUGGCUUCGCUGAUGCCGCUUUGAACCUUACAGCAGUAGAAAGUAGGGACGGAGGUGUUUGCAGCGCUCAGAGGAGGACAACGCCAAAAGAAAAAGGGUAGGGACCACAUCCAGGGGGGCACCGCAGCACAGAGAAGGGGUUGCUAAGCGGGUGGGCUCGAGGGUGUCACAGGCUGAGGAACAGAGAGGAAUAAAAAGCUGUAGGAUUAGAGAGCACACAGUGAAAAUAAGGGGUACAGCUUAGGAUAUAAAAUAGAGGUGCACCAGCUCUCACCCCUCCCCUAGCGCUUACCUUAAACACCCCACGAGUAACUAAGAGGCAGAUGGGUAUCUUGAACAGCAAAGCAGGUGCUCGAGGGUGACACACACAUACCAGGGGCCAGAAACAGGGAAAUAGAGGCUGACUGCUGAGGAACAGGGGGCUUGACAAUGGCACAGAGAGGCUGAGGGAGGGCUAGAGACAAACAGUGAAAAUAAGGGGUACAGGUUGGGAUAUAAGGUAGAGUACAGGUGUACCAGACCCCUAACCCAAACCCUAAAUAGGAGUCCUAACAGCACCCCUGUUUCCCUGAGAGCAGCUGCAAGCAGGAACCCUAAAGCAGCAGAGUGCCAGAACCCCUGAGAGGUGCAGGCAGUACCCCUCAUGCUAGGGCCAGCCAGGCCCUAGGAAGCGAUAAUGGGGGGGACAGAUCCACAGGGUUGGGGAUAACUGCGGCUUUCCCAGCCCACCCUGGGCUCUCUGUCCCUCCUCAGCCAGGGAUUGCUCCCACUCCUCCUCGAGGCCGCAUUUGGUAAGGGCAGGCCACCGCGAAGAGUUCGGCUCUGCAAGCAUCAGUCCACCAGCAGGGCUGAAGCGUGUGGCCCAAGGACCCAGGCAUUCUCAGGAGACACUGACCAAGAGACAACAUCCUGGUGACGGCAGGGACCCACUGGACGGUGAGGCAGCCUUCCCUCAUGCCCCAUGUGGAUUCUCACCCCCGGGCAGCAGACUAAGUCAAAGGCUGCAACCCGCAGAGGGGAUGAAAGCAGGGUGCCGGGUCUGGGACUCAUGGCCAGGGAUUUUUGAGUCAGCUUUGGAGACGGGGCGGUCCCAGCUGUGGCCCCUUAGGCCACGUCAAGGGACUGUGGCACUACUGGGAACGGUGAGAAGCACGACACAGACUCUCUUGUGAGUUGAACAGGAGAGUGAGAUUUAUUACCUCAGAUCUUCUUUUAUAGACUGACACGCAAAAGUACAGAAAGGUAAAAUUCUUAUUGGUCAGUGAACUAAUACAUUGCUAUCAUUGGUUAGUGGGGUACACUGCCCUUUGACUUCCUUUUGUAAGAAAACAAGAAACUGACAAACAGCACCUGCAA
Non-coding RNA from Cyanistes caeruleus (blue tit), 1392 nucleotides. NCBI's taxonomy places the organism in Eukaryota, Metazoa, Chordata, Aves, Passeriformes, Paridae. The record is from RefSeq and is a predicted model, not a curated record.